UCCCCAGUGGCGCAAUAGGUUAGCGCGCGGUACUUAUAAUGCCGAGGUUGUGAGUUCGAUCCUCACCUGCGGAA
This 74-nucleotide transfer RNA is filed under the name Trichonephila inaurata madagascariensis. Its description in RNAcentral is "tRNA-Ile". It matches the Rfam family "tRNA". From Rfam's summary of the family: Transfer RNA (tRNA) molecules are approximately 80 nucleotides in length. Their secondary structure includes four short double-helical elements and three loops (D, anti-codon, and T loops). Lineage: Eukaryota; Metazoa; Arthropoda; Arachnida; Araneae; Nephilidae. The record is from RNAcentral.